UACGGGGGGGGCAAGCGUUGUUCGGAAUUACUGGGCGUAAAGGGCUCGUAGGCGGCCAACUAAGUCGGAUGUGAAAUCCCCAGGCUUAACCUGGGAACUGCAUCCGAUACUGGAUGGCUUGAGUUCGGGAGAGGGAUGCGGAAUUCCAGGUGUAGCGGUGAAAUGCGUAGAUAUCUGGAGGAACACCGGUGGCGAAGGCGGCAUCCUGGACCGAUACUGACGCUGAGGAGCGAAAGCCAGGGGAGCAAACGGG
RNAcentral lists this ribosomal RNA (253 nucleotides) under uncultured bacterium. RNAcentral describes it as "partial 16S ribosomal RNA". It matches the Rfam family "Bacterial small subunit ribosomal RNA", at positions 524 to 776 of the family's 1533-position model. The record is from RNAcentral.